Molecule: transfer RNA, 67 nt
Filed under: Cellana radiata
Lineage: Eukaryota; Metazoa; Mollusca; Gastropoda; Nacellidae
Description: tRNA-Ala
Source: RNAcentral
GUUGUUAUACUUUAAUAAAAAGGCUUAACUUGCACUUAAGUAAUAAAGUUUUGUGCUUUUAACGACA